Molecule: unclassified non-coding RNA, 230 nt
Filed under: Hevea brasiliensis (rubber tree)
Lineage: Eukaryota; Viridiplantae; Streptophyta; Magnoliopsida; Malpighiales; Euphorbiaceae
Source: RNAcentral
CUCAUCAAAUUGGCUAUUUCAAGAACUCUGGCAACUUUUGUUCCUCUUUUAGCUUCAGCUGAUGCUCUUCUAUCCUCUGCUUUUCUGUGUGCUUUUGCUACCUCAUUCUGCAUCUUCUCAAGAGCUCUUGCUCUUUUCUCUUCCAGCUUCCUCUCAACUUUCUUCAUCCAAGAAGUAGACUUCUGCACUUGUUCACUCUCCCACCCAUUAAUUAUAGCAUCUUCUCUCUU